Molecule: long non-coding RNA, 3665 nt
Filed under: Homo sapiens (human)
Lineage: Eukaryota; Metazoa; Chordata; Mammalia; Primates; Hominidae
Description: HSALNT0254832
Source: RNAcentral
UAUUCACAGGUGCAAUCAUAGUGCACUACAGCCUCAAACUCCUAGCCUCAAGCAAUCCUCAUGCCUCAGCCUCCAGAGUAGCUGGGCCUACAGGUACUUAACACCUCAUCUGGCAUCCCCCAGUCAGAUAUUUGGAUGAGACCCCUGCCUUGGCUAACACCUUGAUGAAAACCUGUGGAAGGUUCUAAGGCAGGACCCUCAGCGCAGCCACUUCUCCAGGCACUCGGCAGAGAGAACGCGCGUAGGCGUUGCCCUGGCAACGCCGGGAUGCCCAGCAACAAGUCCGCGGCGUGUAUCACGUGCUCGGCGCGGACCAAUCCGAGGGCCCGCCGGGAAGCAGGAGCAAUAGCAAAAAUUGGGAAUGGGAAGAAACAGGUACCAGCCAGGACACCUGAACGAACUUGGAGCUCAGGAACCCAGGAGGGGAUUGGAGAGAGUGGGGAGACUCCAUGGUCCACAAUGAAUGCUCCUUCCCCAUCCGAAAAAAUCCCCUAGCCCAGUUUUUGGGCAGAUGCCAGACUUUUAUUCUGAAGCGUGGGCCACAACCUAUGAGGUAAUCUUUGGAGCUUCAUUCUGAGGCGGAAUCCCAUUGGCCAGUUGGGGAAGCCCCUCCCAGGAUUCCUGGCGCUCCGCCUUCCCUGAAGCCUAUAAAAGCGCAGGUCCCCGCCUCGGCAGCCACGGGACACCUGCAUCUGCCAACAAGACUGGAAGCAGAAAGGGACAGAGACGGCGAAGUUUGACGGUCUGGAAAGCAGAGACCAGCAGGGCUGACUGCUUGGGAGCACCAAAUAUCCGGACAGCGCCUCUCGGGAGGUCCGAGAAGAGAACCGCGAUCUGUUUCAGCACCGGGGCUCAGGACAGUUCCCAGCGGGCUCCGUUUCGUCUCCAGAACCCUGGACAGCUCCUCCAGAGACGGGGUUUCACCAUGUUGGCCAGGCUGGUCUCAAACUCUUGACCUCUUCAUCCGUCCACCUCAGCCUCCCAAAGUGCUAGGAUUACAGGCGUGAGUCACUGCGCCUGGCCCAAGUCCGGAAUUUUCAACAGGACAUGGGUGUUACUGUGCCCAUGUGACAUUUGGGGAACCCAAGGCCCUGAGAAAGGCAGAAAAAUAACCCACGCAGGGACUCUCAGCCCACAAGUGAAGCUGAGAACCGGGAAUGGAAAACAGGGAGGCAGCACAGAGGCAGGAAACUCAGGUGUCAUAGCUUGGCUCAGCUUGGAAUGCACUCCCUCCACCUCCAACCAGAGCUCCCCACAACUGACCCUGCCUUCUUCUGCAAGCUCCAUUUCAUCAAGGGAAACGAUCCUUAUUGCCUCACCAUUUCCCACGUGAAGUCUGUAUUGACAUUCUCAUAGACCUGGGAUAUUGUGUCUGCAGCACAUAGUCCAAUUAUUUUCAUGUUAUCUACUGACAGGUCUAUUUGUCUCCCUGUUACACUGUGAGCUCCGUGAGGGCAGAAACAAUGUUAGUAUUUUCACUGCUGUGUCCCCAGCGCCUGGUCCGGGGCCCGGCACACAGCAGGCAUAUAAUAAGCAUGUGUUGAAUCAAUAAAGGCAUCAAAGAAUAAACCAAUACAUCAAUCAAUAAAUGAAUGAAUGGCCUCAGCACACACAGGAAGAUCCUUCUUCUAGGUCUCCCCCAGAGAGAUACUGGAGGGCAAUGGUUGCUGGAGGUGUUUAUUGGGGAAGCAUAAUUGAAUUUGUGGACACUUAAGGGCCGGCCAGCCAACUCACAGCCCCAAGAGAGAGAGCCAGGCUCAUUUAAUUAGCAAUUACAAGGCACUGAUUCCUCAUUAGCUCUGGCAACCCUCGUCUCCCUCCUCAGCCCCAGACAAAUGAAAUCUUUCUCUCUCUCCCAGGAGUACUGCCUCAGUGGGUCCAUUAACAAGCAGAGAAAAUGAGAUUAGAAGACACCUAAAUGCCAGAGGCACUUUAUGAAUGGGCUGAGCAGAGGGAGGUUCAAUGUCUGGGUUAGGUCUAAUUGUGGGAGGUUUCCUGGUCUAUUUAGAAUUGCCCCCUGGGAAUGCAAGGUCUUUCAGAAAGGAAAAGGCACACAGAUAUUGCCUUCUGGGGUCCUCAAUGGAGGAGGACAUUCUGCUAUGGGUGUCUCCCAGUCACCCCAAAUUAAUCAUUUCAAAGUGAACACUCAAUCUGCCCAGCCCCUAGCUUCCUCCCCUGACAUGCCCAUGAAUAUGACAGUCCCUCUACAUGCCCAAGAUCCUCCCCUCCUCAUCCACUCCCCAUGAUCCCCAAGAUGAGUCACUGUGCUCAAAUCCAUCCUCUCUCCUCCAGCCCUCUGCCUCCAUGACCUCCCUCCAGCCCUCUGCCUCCAUGACCUCCGCCUCCCUGCAUGUCCGGAUCUCCUCACUGUCUCCCCUCUGAGCAUACACACACAUACAGCCUGUUCAUUCUCUACAUGCAGCGAGGGGACUUUCCAGAACACACAUCUGACCAAGUUCCACUCCUGCCUGUCACCCUUCCAAGAGCCCCACUGACUGCAGAAUAACGUUCAAAUAUCCGGUUGGGCGUGGUGGCUCAUGCCUGCAGUCCCAGCACUUUGGGAGGCCAAGGUGGGUGGAUCACUUGCACAGGACCACAGGCGUGUGCCACCACACCCAGCUAAUUUUUAUAUUUUUGGUAGAGACGGAGUUUCACCAUGUUGGCCAGGCUGACCUCAAGUGAUCCACCCGCCUCAACCUCCCAAAGUGCUGGGAUUACAGGCAUGAGUCACUGCACCGGUCUAAUUUUUUCAGAGUCUCACUCUUGCCCAGGCUGGAGUGCAGUAGCAUGAUCUCGGUUCACUGCAACCUCUGCCUCCUGGUUUCAAGCGAUUCUCUUGGCUCAGCCUCCUGAGCAGCUGGGAUUACAGGCACGUGCCACCACACUUAGCUAAUUUUUGUAUUUUUAGUAGAGAUGGGGGUCUCACCAUGCUGGCACAGUUGGUCUUGAACUCCUGACCUCAAGUGAUCCACCCACCUCGGCUUCCCAAAGUGCUGGGAUUACAGACGUGAGCCACCGCGCCCGGCCAGCCUUUAUUGAUUCUUUUUAAAGCCACACUAACCUUUUAUUUUCCCCCAAAGACCCCUGGGAGCCCUCAGUUUUUCCUGGCAGUUUCAUCUUUGUACCCCUGACCUCCCCACACACACGCCUAGCUCAGUGCUGGCAUCCAAUAUUCACUUUGGGUAUAAAUGCUUGUGCCUGAGCCUAUCACCUUCAUCACACAGAAAAUCCUGGAGGCCACACACCCCUGUAAAGACGAGCCAUUACCCACAGAGGUCCAACCAACUUACCACCCUCUCCCAGCCACCCCCAAGGACCCAGCUUGCAGCUGCCUGCUCAAUGGCUUUAGAAACUAAAAAAGGUGAAUGAGUUUCCAUCACUGCCCUCCUGGGCUUUGCCGUUAUGGCUGGUUAACUUGACAGAAGAACACAUUAUACUUCAUUUUUUGCUGUUGUCUUGUUGGAAAAAAAAGUGACAGCUGGGUGCAGUGGUGCACACUGUAGUCACAGCUACUCAGGAGAAUUGCUUGAGCACAGGAAUUGGAGGCUACACUGAGCAAUGAUCGCCUCACUGCACUCCAGCCUGAACGACAGAGCAAGACCCUCUUAAAAAAUACGUGAGAGAGGGUGCGUAUGAUGGCUCAUGCCUGUAAUCCCAGCAGUUUG